This 2806-nucleotide ribosomal RNA is filed under the name Clostridioides difficile. RNAcentral describes it as "partial 23S ribosomal RNA". It matches the Rfam family "Bacterial large subunit ribosomal RNA". The record is from RNAcentral. Lineage: Bacteria; Bacillati; Bacillota; Clostridia; Peptostreptococcales; Peptostreptococcaceae.
UGGUCAAGUUAUUAAGGGUGCAGGGCGGAUGCCUUGGCACUAGGAGCCGAUGAAGGACGUGAUAAGCUGCGAUAAGCUUCGGGGAGUUGCACGUAAACUUUGAUCCGAAGAUUUCCGAAUGAGGAAACUCACUUAGAGUAAUGUCUAAGUAUCAUUAAGUGAAUACAUAGCUUAAUGAGGGGAACUCAGGGAACUGAAACAUCUAAGUACCUGAAGGAAGAGAAAGAAAUUCGAUUCCGUAAGUAGCGGCGAGCGAACGCGGAUUAGCCCAAACCAAUAAAGUUUUCUUUAUUGGGGUUGCGGACAUAUCAUAACGAAGAGGUAUCGUAAUUGAAGAGGUUUGGAAAGACCCACCACAGAAGGUAAUAGUCCUGUAUGUUAAACGAGAAGACUUCAGAUAUGAUCCAGAGUACCACGGGACACGUGAAACCCUGUGGGAAGCAGGAGGGACCACCCUCCAAGGCUAAAUACUACCUAGUGACCGAUAGCGUAUAGUACCGUGAGGGAAAGGUGAAAAGAACCCCGGGAGGGGAGUGAAAUAGAACCUGAAACCCUGCACUUACAAGCUGUGGAAGCACAUUUCUUGUGUGACCGCGUACUUUUUGUAGAACGGGCCAACGAGUUACGUUAAGUAGCAAGGUUAAGCACUUAAGGUGCGGAGCCGUAGCGAAAGCGAGUUUUAACUGAGCGUUCAGUUACUUGACGUAGACCCGAAACCGGGCGACCUACCCAUGAGCAGGAUGAAGCGAAAGUAAAAUUUCGUGGAGGUCCGAACCCACGAGCGUUGAAAAGCUCGGGGAUGACUUGUGGGUAGCGGUGAAAUUCCAAUCGAGCCCGGAGAUAGCUGGUUCUCCCCGAAAUAGCUUUAGGGCUAGCCUCAAGGUGAGAGAUACGGAGGUAGAGCACUGAAUGUCCUAGGGGGUAUUGCACCUACCGAAGACUAUCAAACUCCGAAUGCCGUCAUCUUAUACUUGGGAGUCAGACUGUGGGUGAUAAGAUUCAUAGUCGAAAGGGCAACAGCCCAGAUCGUCAGCUAAGGUCCCUAAAUGUAAGUUAAGUGGUAAAGGAUGUGGGAUUGCACAGACAACCAGGAUGUUGGCUUAGAAGCAGCCACUCAUUCAAAGAGUGCGUAAUAGCUCACUGGUCGAGUGAUCCUGCGCCGAAGAUUUCCGGGGCUAAAACUUACUACCGAAGCUACGGCAUCAGUAAUGAUGGGUAGGGGAGCUUCCCAUACGGGUUGAAGCAUGACCGUAAGGACAUGUGGACAGUAUGGGAGUGAGAAUGUUGGCAUGAGUAGCGAGAUGUGGGUGAGAAUCCCACAGGCCGUAAACCCAAGGUUUCCAGGGGAAGGUUCGUCCGCCCUGGGUUAGUCGGGACCUAAGCUGAGGCCGAAAGGCGUAGGUGAUGGACAACAGGUUGAUAUUCCUGUACUACCGAUAACCGUUUGAGAGAAGGGAUGACACAGUAGGAUAAGCUAAGCACACUGUUGGUUAUGUGUGCCCAAGCAUUGAGGCAGUCAAAGUAGGCAAAUCCGCUUUGAUAAUGCUGGGAUGUGAUGGGGAGCGAAAUUUAGUAGCGAAGUAGCUGAUUUCACACUGUCAAGAAAAGUCUCUAUCGAGGUUAAAGGUACCCGUACCGCAAACCGACACAGGUGGGUGAGGAGAGUAUCCUAAGGCCAGCGAGAGAACUGUUGUUAAGGAACUCGGCAAAAUGACCCCGUAACUUAGGGAUAAGGGGUGCCACCAUCAGGUGGCCGCAGAGAAUAGGCCCAAGCGACUGUUUACCAAAAACAUAGGUUUCUGCUAAGUCGCAAGACGAUGUAUAGGAGCUGACGCCUGCCCGGUGCUGGAAGGUUAAGGGGAUCUGUUAGAGCAAUCGAAGCAGUGAACUUAAGCCCCAGUAAACGGCGGCCGUAACUAUAACGGUCCUAAGGUAGCGAAAUUCCUUGUCGGGUAAGUUCCGACCCGCACGAAAGGCGUAACGAUUUGGGCACUGUCUCAACAACAGACUCGGUGAAAUUGUAAUUCCGGUGAAGAUGCCGGAUACCUGCGACAGGACGGAAAGACCCCAUGGAGCUUUACUGUAGCUUGACAUUGGGUCUUGGUACUACAUGUACAGGAUAGGUGGGAGGCUUUGAAACCAGGACGCCAGUUUUGGCGGAGCCAUCCUUGGGAUACCACCCUUGUAGUACUGGGACUCUAACCAUAGGCCAUGAAUCUGGUCUUGGGACACUGUCAGGUGGGCAGUUUGACUGGGGCGGUCGCCUCCCAAAAGGUAACGGAGGCGCUCAAAGGUUCUCUCAGUACGGUCGGAAAUCGUACGUAGAGUGUAAAGGCAAAAGAGAGCUUGAUUGCAAGACAUACAGGUCGAGCAAGGAUGAAAAUCGGACUUAGUGAUCCGGUGGUUCUGCGUGGAAGGGCCAUCGCUCAACGGAUAAAAGCUACCCUGGGGAUAACAGGCUUAUCUCCCCCAAGAGUCCACAUCGACGGGGAGGUUUGGCACCUCGAUGUCGGCUCAUCACAUCCUGGGGCUGUAGUAGGUCCCAAGGGUUGGGCUGUUCGCCCAUUAAAGUGGUACGCGAGCUGGGUUCAGAACGUCGUGAGACAGUUCGGUCCCUAUCCGUCGCAGGCGUAGGAAAUUUGAGAAGACCUGUCCUUAGUACGAGAGGACCGGGAUGGACGUACCUCUGGUGUACCAGUUGUCCUGCCAAGGGCAUGGCUGGGUAGCUAUGUACGGAAUGGAUAAGCGCUGAAAGCAUCUAAGCGCGAAGCCAACUUCAAGAUAAGAUUUCCCACCGCAAGGGUAA